Cercocebus atys (sooty mangabey) is the source of this 510-nucleotide RNA transcript. It is a transcript of the gene named Ig heavy chain V-III region VH26-like, with no coding region annotated. Lineage: Eukaryota; Metazoa; Chordata; Mammalia; Primates; Cercopithecidae. The transcript is spliced from 3 exons. The record is from RefSeq and is a predicted model, not a curated record.
CACAGAGGAAUCACCAUGGACUUUGUGCUGAGAUGGGUUUUGCUUGUUGCUAUUUUGAAAGGUGUCCGGUGUGAGGUGCUGCUGGUGGAGUAUGGGGGAGGCUUGGCAAAGCCUGGGGGGGUCCCUGAGACUCUCCUGUGCAGGCUCUCGAUUCACCUUCAGUAGCUACUACAUGAACUGUGUCCACCAGGCUCCAGGGAAUGGGCUGGAGUGGGUUGGACAAGUUAAUCCUAAUGGGGGUAGUACAUAUCUCACAGACUCCGGAAGGGCCGAUUCACCAUCUCCAGAGAAAAUGCCAAGAACACGCUUCAUCUGCAAAUGAACAGCCUGAAAACUGAGGACACGGCCUUGUAUUGUACCAGAGACACAGUGAGGGGAGUACAAUGUGAGCCCAGACACAAACGUCCCUGCAGGGCCAUGCAGGGAGGCUUCAGGAAGCAGCUCCUAGAUGGGCAGAAGCCGGCAAACGUGUGUGUCCACACAGGAACUAGAGCCUCUCUCGCGGAUUAG